Molecule: ribosomal RNA, 198 nt
Filed under: uncultured bacterium
Lineage: Bacteria
Description: partial 16S ribosomal RNA
Rfam family: Bacterial small subunit ribosomal RNA
Source: RNAcentral
ACGCUCGACACCUACGGGAGGCGGCAGUGGGGAAUAUUGCACAAUGGGGGAAACCCUGAUGCAGCGACGCCGCGUGAAGGAAGAAGUAUCUCGGUAUGUAAACUUCUAUCAGCAGGGAAGAAAAUGACGGUACCUGACUAAGAAGCCCCGGCUAACUACGUGCCCGCAGCCGCGGUAAUCUGAGCGGGCUGGCAAGGC